Molecule: ribosomal RNA, 1235 nt
Filed under: Niphargus sp. ND432
Lineage: Eukaryota; Metazoa; Arthropoda; Malacostraca; Amphipoda; Niphargidae
Also listed under: 1 other name
Description: partial large subunit ribosomal RNA
Rfam family: Eukaryotic large subunit ribosomal RNA
Source: RNAcentral
AAGGCUUCAGUACGACCCAGUCAGAACUAUAAGUCUCAAAGCCCCGACGAGUAGGGUGGCGUGCCGGUGAGCGUUGAAGGCCAAGACGUGAGUCAGGCUGGAGCCGCCGGUAGUGCAGAUCUUGGUGGUAGUAGCAAGUACUCUGGUGAACCAACCUGGAGCUGUGAGGUCUGGAUCAGGGUUCCAUGUCAACAGUGAUUGAACAUGGGUGAGUCGAUCCUAAGCCAACUGUGAAAGCAGUGACAUCCCGACAAAGGGGCAAUUCGUGUGGCUGCCACGCGCGCUUGUGUGCACAUUCGCAAGUCUCCUCUCUCGGCGCGCGCAUGCUCAAUUCUCGGUUAAAAACCACCGCGUUGGUUUGUAGACCAUCUGGGGCAUGGCGCGUAUCUCUGGUUGCGCUCGAAAGCGUUACGAAAUCGAGAGAGAAAACGAGGCAGUGCCGCGCUUGUGUGUGCGUUCGUUUUUCUCGAAGCUCCCUGCGUCUGGUUCUAUGUCUGGCGAAAGGGAAUGGGGACUUUGUUCCUUGACCGGUCCCGGCACCCUCGAUAGGCUUAUGCCAAUCAAUGGUCCAUGCAAAUGGAACCAGGCCACAGCCGCCGGCAGUCGCCCGAGGAAGAGUUUUCUUUUCUGCUUAACGCACGAGAUCAUCCCUGGAAACAGUUCGGCUGGCGAAAGGGUGCCCCGUUGCGGCAGAGCGCCACGACUGUCGUGCGCGUCUCGGUGUUCCUGCCGGUCCGUGAAGACGUGGUCGAGGGGAUUGCUCUUGUAUCAACGAAACGCCCGACAAGUUCGGGACGGACCGUACCCUAUAUCCGCAUCUGGUCUCCAAGGUUCGUAGCCUCUGCAGAGUCAGACACAUGUAGGUAAGGGAAGUCGGCAAACUCGAUCCGUAACUUCGGGAAAAGGAUUGGCUCUGAGGGCCGAGCUGGGCCGGGCCUUGCCUGCAAAGCAGUACCUAUAGUGACCGGAGUUUCAGGAGUGCGAGGGGCUCUAGUAGCUGCCUGCGCGUUCACGCGUGUGGGCACGAACGAGUCUACCGCUCCGCUCCAACCACGAACGGCUGUGACGGCAAGGGCUCUGGGCGGGAGCGUUCAAACCGUUGGCCCCCAGCUCGUCUGGGUGGCGGCGGUGCUCCGUCUGACCCAUACGGCUCCAGCGGCUAGCGGCUAACUCAGAACUGUCAUGGACCAAGGGAAUCCGACUGUCUAAUUAAAACAAAGCGUCGUGACGGCCCC